AAUAGAUACCCCGGUAGUCCACGCCGUAAACGAUGAGUGCUAAGUGUUAGAGGGUUUCCGCCCUUUAGUGCUGCAGCUAACGCAUUAAGCACUCCGCCUGGGGAGUACGGUCGCAAGACUGAAACUCAAAGGAAUUGACGGGGGCCCGCACAAGCGGUGGAGCAUGUGGUUUAAUUCGAAGCAACGCGAAGAACCUUACCAGGUCUUGACAUCCCACUGACCGGUAUAGAGAUAUACCUUUCCCUUCGGGGACAGUGGUGACAGGUGGUGCAUGGUUGUCGUCAGCUCGUGUCGUGAGAUGUUGGGUUAAGUCCCGCAACGAGCGCAACCCUUGAUCUUAGUUGCCAGCAUUUAGUUGGGCACUCUAAGGUGACUGCCGGUGACAAACCGGAGGAAGGUGGGGAUGACGUCAAAUCAUCAUGCCCCUUAUGACCUGGGCUACACACGUGCUACAAUGGAUGGUACAAAAGGGCUGACAAGACUGCGAAGUCAAGCCAAUCCCAUAAAACCAUUCUCAGUUCGGAUUGCAGG
Molecule: ribosomal RNA, 531 nt
Filed under: uncultured bacterium
Lineage: Bacteria
Description: bacterial SSU rRNA
Rfam family: Bacterial small subunit ribosomal RNA
Source: RNAcentral